RNAcentral lists this microRNA (24 nucleotides) under Caenorhabditis briggsae. RNAcentral describes it as "Cbr-Mir-73-P1a_5p* (star (passenger))". The record is from RNAcentral. Lineage: Eukaryota; Metazoa; Nematoda; Chromadorea; Rhabditida; Rhabditidae.
CGAGCUUCCCCGUCAAGCCACAGC